UGGGGAAUAUUGGACAAUGGGCGAAAGCCUGAUCCAGCCAUGCCGCGUGUGUGAAGAAGGUCUUCGGAUUGUAAAGCACUUUAAGUUGGGAGGAAGGGCAGUUACCUAAUACGUGAUUGUUUUGACGUUACCAACAGAAUAAGCACCGGCUAACUCUGUGCCAGCAGCCGCGGUAAUACAGAGGGUGCAAGCGUUAAUCGGAAUUACUGGGCGUAAAGCGCGCGUAGGUGGUUUGUUAAGUUGGAUGUGAAAUCCCCGGGCUCAACCUGGGAACUGCAUUCAAAACUGACUGACUAGAGUAUGGUAGAGGGUGGUGGAAUUUCCUGUGUAGCGGUGAAAUGCGUAGAUAUAGGAAGGAACACCAGUGGCGAAGGCGACCACCUGGACUAAUACUGACACUGAGGUGCGAAAGCGUGGGGAGCAAACA
Molecule: ribosomal RNA, 427 nt
Filed under: uncultured bacterium
Lineage: Bacteria
Description: partial 16S ribosomal RNA
Rfam family: Bacterial small subunit ribosomal RNA
Source: RNAcentral